RNAcentral lists this ribosomal RNA (449 nucleotides) under uncultured bacterium. Its description in RNAcentral is "partial 16S ribosomal RNA". It matches the Rfam family "Bacterial small subunit ribosomal RNA", at positions 29 to 523 of the family's 1533-position model. The record is from RNAcentral.
AGCGAACGCUGGCGGCAGGCCUAACACAUGCAAGUCGAACGAAGUCUUCGGACUUAGUGGCGGACGGGUGAGUAACACGUGGGAACGUGCCUUUAGGUUCGGAAUAACUCAGGGAAACUUGUGCUAAUACCGAAUGUGCCCUUCGGGGGAAAGAUUUAUCGCCUUUAGAGCGGCCCGCGUCUGAUUAGCUAGUUGGUGAGGUAAAGGCUCACCAAGGCUACGAUCAGUAGCUGGUCUGAGAGGAUGACCAGCCACAUUGGGACUGAGACACGGCCCAAACUCCUACGGGAGGCAGCAGUGGGGAAUCUUGCGCAAUGGGCGAAAGCCUGACGCAGCCAUGCCGCGUGGAUGAUGAAGGUCUUAGGAUUGUAAAAUCCUUUCACCGGUGAAGAUAAUGACUGUAGCCGGAGAAGAAGCCCCGGCCAACUUCGUGCCAGCAGCCGCCGUAA